GCCGGCAGCUCGCUCUCUGCAACUCUCACAUGGUAGCCCACAUAAGAUAAGCAGAGCUGCACCCGGUGAGUACCUGGAUUGGAGACCACAUGGGAAAGCUAGGUUACUGCUGGAA
Molecule: ribosomal RNA, 115 nt
Filed under: Danio rerio (zebrafish)
Lineage: Eukaryota; Metazoa; Chordata; Actinopteri; Cypriniformes; Danionidae
Source: RNAcentral